RNAcentral lists this ribosomal RNA (503 nucleotides) under uncultured bacterium. Its description in RNAcentral is "bacterial SSU rRNA". It matches the Rfam family "Bacterial small subunit ribosomal RNA", at positions 19 to 518 of the family's 1533-position model. The record is from RNAcentral.
AUGGCUCAGGAUGAACGCUGGCGGUGUGCCUAAUACAUGCAAGUCGAUCGGGCGUAGCAAUACGUCAGAGGCGUACGGGUGAGUAACACGUAGGUAACCUACCUUUAAGACUGGGAUACCCAGACGAAAGUUUGGCUAAUACCGGAUAACAACAUUUGAGACAUCUCUUUGUUUGAAAGGCGCUGCAAGGCGCCACUUUUAGAUGGACCUGCGUCGCAUUAGCUAGUUGGUGAGAUAAAAGCCCACCAAGGCUGGGAUGCGUAGCCGAUCUGAGAGGAUGACCGGCCACAAUGGGACUGAGACACGGCCCAUACUCCUACGGGAGGCAGCAGUAGGGAGUUUUCGGCAAUGGGGGAAACCCUGACCGAGCAACACCGCGUGAGUGAUGAAGGUCUUCGGAUCGUAAAGCUCUGUUACGAGGGACGAAUGAUCGCUUUAGGAAAUGAGAGCGGUUUGACGGUACCUCGCCAGAAAGCGACGGCUAACUACGUGCCAGCCGCAGC